Molecule: long non-coding RNA, 874 nt
Organism: Morus notabilis
Lineage: Eukaryota; Viridiplantae; Streptophyta; Magnoliopsida; Rosales; Moraceae
Exons: 5
Source: RefSeq, a predicted model, not a curated record
CCUCGCUUCUCUUCUCCUCUCCUUCUUCUAGGUUUUUCUUGCUUCUCUUCGCAGAAGCUUAAAGAAAUGGAAGCUUCAUCGUAGAAGCUUCUAACUUUUUCUCUCUUCUCUUUUUUUGUUCUAUUUCUUUCUCUCGAGCGAUUUUUUCUACUCCGUCGUCCCCGAUCCUUACCUCUGCACCACCACCACUGUCACCGUUAGCCCUCCUUUGAUCAUGAGGCCUAGGCUUUUUGGUCAUUCCACGGGCGUAUGCCUUUUUCUUUCUCGAUCUCUCUCGAUUUCUUUCUUAUUGGCUUCUUCGGUGUUUUUUUUUUCCCCUCCCGACGGUGUUUUAUGUCCCUUUGUUGGAAUGUAUGGUUUUGGUUGACUAACAGACGGUGUUUUGUUGAUCCAUGUGCUUUAUCUUCGGCUUUGAUGGAUUUUUGUGUGCAAACAGUUUAUGUAGGUCCCUGUCAUUUACUCCUUCAUAUACUUAUUGCUGCGUGUCCUUUUAUCGACAUUGACCCUUGCAUGGUCUGUUUUGGUACUUGCGGUGAUAUUGGCAGCAUUUGAGUUCCUUAGUCGACAUUCGUCCUUCACACUUGAAGCAUUACUUCAUAUCGACCUCUUUUCUAUUACUUCUUCCACUCUGGAUGCGCACACUUAUUCAUCUUCCUACAAGAGAUUUAUAUGCAUGUGCUUCAUUUUUCCCGUGGUUGAUUUCUAUAGGCUGUCGCUUCGGCUCAUUCUCUAUUUAAGGGGGUAUUCAUAACGCUGCAGGUACUAUUAAUAACUUUUGCCUACAUCUUCUUAAUAUUUGUUACAUUGUUUUCCCGAGUUGCUAUCACUAUUUGUUGUUUGCUAUGGUAUGCAAAAAAAAAACUUUUUCUAUUGU